UUCCCACCAUGGUAUCAAAGACCUGUCAUGUGAAAUUAUGACAGAUGACAAUAUCUGAGGCGU
Molecule: small nucleolar RNA, 63 nt
Filed under: Fusarium venenatum
Lineage: Eukaryota; Fungi; Ascomycota; Sordariomycetes; Hypocreales; Nectriaceae
Source: RNAcentral